UACGUAGGGUGCAAGCGUUAAUCGGAAUUACUGGGCGUAAAGCGUGCGCAGGCGGCUUUGCAAGACAGAUGUGAAAUCUCCGGGCUUAACCUGGGAACUGCAUUUGUGACUGCAUGGCUGGAGUGCGGCAGAGGGGGAUGGAAUUCCGCGUGUAGCAGUGAAAUGCGUAGAUAUGCGGAGGAACACCGAUGGCGAAGGCAAUCCCCUGGGCCGGCACUGACGCUCAUGCACGAAAGCGUGGGGAGCAAACAGG
Molecule: ribosomal RNA, 253 nt
Filed under: uncultured bacterium
Lineage: Bacteria
Description: partial 16S ribosomal RNA
Rfam family: Bacterial small subunit ribosomal RNA
Source: RNAcentral